UACGAGGGGAGCAAGCGUUGUUCGGAUUUACUGGGCGUAAAGGGCGCGUAGGCGGCGUGACAAGUCACUUGUGAAAUCUCCGGGCUUAACCCGGAACGGUCAAGUGAAACUGUCGUGCUAGAGUACAGAAGGGGCAACUGGAAUUCUCGGUGUAGCGGUGAAAUGCGUAGAUAUCGAGAGGAACACCUGCGGCGAAGGCGGGUUGCUGGGCUGAUACUGACGCUGAGGCGCGAAAGCCAGGGGAGCGAACGGG
Molecule: ribosomal RNA, 253 nt
Filed under: uncultured bacterium
Lineage: Bacteria
Description: partial 16S ribosomal RNA
Rfam family: Bacterial small subunit ribosomal RNA
Source: RNAcentral